Molecule: ribosomal RNA, 279 nt
Filed under: uncultured bacterium
Lineage: Bacteria
Description: partial 16S ribosomal RNA
Rfam family: Bacterial small subunit ribosomal RNA
Source: RNAcentral
UGCCAGCAGCCGCGGUAAUACGAAGGGGGCUAGCGUUGUUCGGAAUCACUGGGCGUAAAGCGCGCGUAGGCGGAUGAUCAAGUCAGAGGUGAAAUCCCGGGGCCCAACCCCGGAACUGCCUUUGAAACUGAUUGUCUAGAGACUCGGAGGGGACAGUGGAAUUCCAAAUGUAGGGGUGAAAUCCGUAGAUAUUUGGAGGAACACCAGCGGCGAAGGCGGCUGUCUGGACGAGUACUGACGCUGAGGUGCGAAAGCGUGGGGAGCAAACAGGAUUAGAUA